AGACGGAGGGUGCAAGCGUUGUUCGGAAUCACUGGGCGUAAAGCGCGUGUAGGCGGUCUGAUCAGUCGAGUGUGAAAGCCCAAGGCUCAACUUCGGAAGUGCACUCGAAACUGUCAGGCUUGAGUACGGGAGAGGGAAGUGGAAUUCCUGGUGUAGAGGUGAAAUUCGUAGAUAUCAGGAGGAACACCGGUGGCGAAGGUGGCUUCCUGGACCGAUACUGACGCUGAGACGCGAAAGCGUGGGGAGC
RNAcentral lists this ribosomal RNA (247 nucleotides) under uncultured bacterium. RNAcentral's name for it is "partial 16S ribosomal RNA". It matches the Rfam family "Bacterial small subunit ribosomal RNA", at positions 523 to 769 of the family's 1533-position model. The record is from RNAcentral.